UACAGAGGGUGCAAGCGUUGUUCGGAAUUACUGGGCGUAAAGAGCUCGUAGGUGGUUUGUCGCGUUGUUCGUGAAAACUCACAGCUCAACUGUGGGCGUGCGGGCGAUACGGGCAGACUAGAGUACUGCAGGGGAGACUGGAAUUCCUGGUGUAGCGGUGAAAUGCGCAGAUAUUCGGAAGAACACCGGUGGCGAAGGCGACCUUCUGGGCCGCAACUGACGCUGAGGCACGAAAGCCUGGGGAGCGAACGGG
This 253-nucleotide ribosomal RNA is filed under the name uncultured bacterium. RNAcentral describes it as "partial 16S ribosomal RNA". It matches the Rfam family "Bacterial small subunit ribosomal RNA", at positions 524 to 776 of the family's 1533-position model. The record is from RNAcentral.